CAAUAGCGUAUAUUUAAGUUGUUGCAGUUAAAAAGCUCGUAGUCGGAUUUUGGCUGAGAACGAUCGGUCCGCCGUUAGGUGUGCACUGAUUGGUCUCAGCUUCCUGGUGAGGAGGUGUGCUUCACGGCCACUUAGUCACCGUGGUUACUUUGAAAAAAUUAGAGUGUUCAAAGCGGGCUUACGCUUGAAUAUAUUAGCAUGGAAUAACACCAUAGGACUCCUGUCCUAUUUCGUUGGUCUCGGGACGGGAGUAAUGAUUAAGAGGAACAGUUGGGGGCAUUCGUAUUUCAUUGUCAGAGGUGAAAUUCUUGGAUUUAUGAAAGACGAACUUCUGCGAAAGCAUUUGCCAAGGGUGUUUUCAUUGA
Molecule: ribosomal RNA, 365 nt
Filed under: uncultured eukaryote
Lineage: Eukaryota
Description: partial 18S ribosomal RNA
Rfam family: Eukaryotic small subunit ribosomal RNA
Source: RNAcentral